CUGACACCUGCAGAGGAUUCAAACAAAAAUCCUGAACCUGGAUCUGAUUCACGUUUCAUGGAAGAGGCCCGGCCGCGUCAGGUCGCGUCAUGUUGACGCACCGCGGUCGCGUCAGGACGCGUCAGGUCGCGUCAUGUUGACGCACCGCGGUCGCGUCAGGACGCGUCAGGUCGCGUCAGGUCGCGUCAUGUUGACGCACCGCGGUCGCGUCAGGACGCGUCAGGUCGCGUCAGGUCGCGUCAGGUCGCGUCAUGUUGACGCACCGCGGUCGCGUCAGGACGCGUCAGGACGCGUCAGGUCGCGUCAG
Scophthalmus maximus (turbot) is the source of this 307-nucleotide long non-coding RNA. RefSeq lists it as uncharacterized. The record is from RefSeq and is a predicted model, not a curated record. NCBI's taxonomy places the organism in Eukaryota, Metazoa, Chordata, Actinopteri, Pleuronectiformes, Scophthalmidae. The transcript is spliced from 3 exons.